This 354-nucleotide ribosomal RNA is filed under the name uncultured bacterium. RNAcentral's name for it is "partial 16S ribosomal RNA". It matches the Rfam family "Bacterial small subunit ribosomal RNA", at positions 338 to 690 of the family's 1533-position model. The record is from RNAcentral.
CCUACGGGAGGCAGCAGUGAGGAAUAUUGGUCAAUGGCCGGAAGGCUGAACCAGCCAAGCCGCGUGAGGGAAGAAGGCGCUGCGCGUCGCAAACCUCUUUUGCUGGGGGGCAACAGGCCGGUCUCGACCGGUCCUGAGGGUACCCGGAGCAAAAGCAUCGGCUAACUCCGUGCCAGCAGCCGCGGUAAUACGGAGGAUGCGAGCGUUAUCCGGAUUCAUUGGGGUUAAAGGGUGCGCAGGCGGGACGUAAAGCCGGCGGUGAAAUCGCGGGGCUCAACCCCGCCUAGCCGUCGGAAAUGGGGGCCUUGGAGGGGGCGGAGGGAUGGCGAAAGGGGGGGGUAGCGGUGAAAUGCA